GAUGAGUAGUUGUAAUCAGGUUAUAACUGUCAUGUGAAAGGCCAAACGUUUUGGCAACAAGAGAUUAUUGUUAAUUGCUAUGAUUACAUGUUCUAUAUUGCAAAUAUGGAUGUUUCAGCUGUAGCUGAAUUCUAUUAGCUUCCUUUAGAUGAAAAGGGAAUUGUUGUAGUUACCUGGCGCUGCUUGCCUAGCGUAUUUAUACCGUUAUAGUUGCAUGCUUCCCUAACCUUAUAGGUCUUUUCUUGUUUAUAUUAACUUCAAACUUUUGACUGACUUACCGGUCCC
Molecule: long non-coding RNA, 285 nt
Filed under: Elaeis guineensis (African oil palm)
Lineage: Eukaryota; Viridiplantae; Streptophyta; Magnoliopsida; Arecales; Arecaceae
Description: long non-coding RNA (EGUI_LNC010107)
Source: RNAcentral